UACUUGUACCGACUGGAUGAGCAGCGAACGGGUGAGUAACGCGUGGGGAAUCUGCCUUUGAGCGGGGGACAACAUUUGGAAACGAAUGCUAAUACCGCAUAAAAACUUUAAACACAAGUUUUAAGUUUGAAAGAUGCAAUUGCAUCACUCAAAGAUGAUCCCGCGUUGUAUUAGCUAGUUGGUGAGGUAAAGGCUCACCAAGGCGAUGAUACAUAGCCGACCUGAGAGGGUGAUCGGCCACAUUGGGACUGAGACACGGCCCAAACUCCUACGGGAGGCAGCAGUAGGGAAUCUUCGGCAAUGGACGAAAGUCUGACCGAGCAACGCCGCGUGAGUGAAGAAGGUUUUCGGAUCGUAAAACUCUGUUGGUAGAGAAGAACGUUGGUGAGAGUGGAAAGCUCAUCAAGUGACGGUAACUACCCAGAAAGGGACGGCUAACUACGUGCCAGCAGCCGCGGUAAUACGUAGGUCCCGAGCGUUGUCCGGAUUUAUUGGGCGUAAAGCGAGCGCAGGUGGUUUAUUAAGUCUGGUGUAAAAGGCAGUGGCUCAACCAUUGUAUGCAUUGGAAACUGGUAGACUUGAGUGCAGGAGAGGAGAGUGGAA
This 603-nucleotide ribosomal RNA is filed under the name Lactococcus lactis. RNAcentral's name for it is "bacterial SSU rRNA". It matches the Rfam family "Bacterial small subunit ribosomal RNA", at positions 77 to 666 of the family's 1533-position model. Lineage: Bacteria; Bacillati; Bacillota; Bacilli; Lactobacillales; Streptococcaceae. The record is from RNAcentral.